RNAcentral lists this ribosomal RNA (492 nucleotides) under uncultured bacterium. RNAcentral describes it as "partial 16S ribosomal RNA". It matches the Rfam family "Bacterial small subunit ribosomal RNA", at positions 29 to 507 of the family's 1533-position model. The record is from RNAcentral.
AGUGAACGCUGGCGGUAGGUCUAACACAUGCAAGUCGAACGGCAGCACAGUAAGAGCUUGCUCUUACGGGUGGCGAGUGGCGGACGGGUGAGGAAUACAUCGGAAUCUACUUUUUCGUGGGGGAUAACGUAGGGAAACUUACGCUAAUACCGCAUACGCCCUACGGUUGAAAGCAGGGGAUCUUCGGACCUUGCGCGAUUGAAUGAGCCGAUGUCGGAUUAGCUAGUUGGCGGGGUAAAGGCCCACCAAGGCGACGAUCCGCAGCUGGUCUGAGAGGAUGAUCAGCCACACUGGAACUGAGACACGGUCCAGACUCCUACGGGAGGCAGCAGUGGGGAAUAUUGGACAAUGGGCGCAAGCCUGAUCCAGCCAUACCGCGUGGGUGAAGAAGGCCUUCGGGUUGUAAAGCCCUUUUGUUGGGAAAGAAAAGCAGCAGGUUAAUACCCCGCUGUUCUGACGGUACCCAAAGAAUAAGCACCGGCUAACUUCGUG